GAUGAACGCUGGCGGCGUGCCUAAUACAUGCAAGUCGAGCGAACGGACGAGAAGCUUGCUUCUCUGAUGUUAGCGGCGGACGGGUGAGUAACACGUGGAUAACCUACCUAUAAGACUGGGAUAACUUCGGGAAACCGGAGCUAAUACCGGAUAAUAUUUUGAACCGCAUGGUUCAAAAGUGAAAGACGGUCUUGCUGUCACUUAUAGAUGGAUCCGCGCUGCAUUAGCUAGUUGGUAAGGUAACGGCUUACCAAGGCAACGAUGCAUAGCCGACCUGAGAGGGUGAUCGGCCACACUGGAACUGAGACACGGUCCAGACUCCUACGGGAGGCAGCAGUAGGGAAUCUUCCGCAAUGGGCGAAAGUCUGACGGAGCAACGCCGCGUGAGUGAUGAAGGUCUUCGGAUCGUAAAACUCUGUUAUUAGGGAAGAACAUAUGUGUAAGUAACUGUGCACAUCUUGACGGUACCUAAUCAGAAAGCCACGGCUAACUACGUGCCAGCAGCCGCGGUAAUACGUAGGUGGCAAGCGUUAUCCGGAAUUAUUGGGCGUAAAGCGCGCGUAGGCGGUUUUUUAAGUCUGAUGUGAAAGCCCACGGCUCAACCGUGGAGGGUCAUUGGAAACUGGAAAACUUGAGUGCAGAAGAGGAAAGUGGAAUUCCAUGUGUAGCGGUGAAAUGCGCAGAGAUAUGGAGGAACACCAGUGGCGAAGGCGACUUUCUGGUCUGUAACUGACGCUGAUGUGCGAAAGCGUGGGGAUCAAACAGGAUUAGAUACCCUGGUAGUCCACGCCGUAAACGAUGAGUGCUAAGUGUUAGGGGGUUUCCGCCCCUUAGUGCUGCAGCUAACGCAUUAAGCACUCCGCCUGGGGAGUACGACCGCAAGGUUGAAACUCAAAGGAAUUGACGGGGACCCGCACAAGCGGUGGAGCAUGUGGUUUAAUUCGAAGCAACGCGAAGAACCUUACCAAAUCUUGACAUCCUUUGACAACUCUAGAGAUAGAGCUUUCCCCUUCGGGGGACAAAGUGACAGGUGGUGCAUGGUUGUCGUCAGCUCGUGUCGUGAGAUGUUGGGUUAAGUCCCGCAACGAGCGCAACCCUUAAGCUUAGUUGCCAUCAUUAAGUUGGGCACUCUAAGUUGACUGCCGGUGACAAACCGGAGGAAGGUGGGGAUGACGUCAAAUCAUCAUGCCCCUUAUGAUUUGGGCUACACACGUGCUACAAUGGACAAUACAAAGGGCAGCGAAACCGCGAGGUCAAGCAAAUCCCAUAAAGUUGUUCUCAGUUCGGAUUGUAGUCUGCAACUCGACUACAUGAAGCUGGAAUCGCUAGUAAUCGUAGAUCAGCAUGCUACGGUGAAUACGUUCCCGGGUCU
This 1372-nucleotide ribosomal RNA is filed under the name uncultured bacterium. RNAcentral's name for it is "bacterial SSU rRNA". It matches the Rfam family "Bacterial small subunit ribosomal RNA", at positions 28 to 1381 of the family's 1533-position model. The record is from RNAcentral.